RNAcentral lists this non-coding RNA (79 nucleotides) under Saccharolobus solfataricus. Lineage: Archaea; Thermoproteati; Thermoproteota; Thermoprotei; Sulfolobales; Sulfolobaceae. The record is from RNAcentral.
UGUAACCCUUAAGACCUCGGGAACCCUCGCCCUUUAGGCGGGGAGGAGGUCAGGUUUUGCGGGCUACAUGGUUCGCCGA